CCCUGAAACCUUUGUCUUUAUGUGAGAGCAGGAGGGAGAAGAGGCCCCUGGAAGUCAGCGUGUGUAUGUGUGCAUCCCUCUUCUUUGCUUUGAAAAGCCUGCACCAAGAUCUUCCUAUUCCGAGAAAGCUGGUUUUGUAGAAGAAGAGAGAUAUUGAUGCAGUGGCUGCUUGCAUUUGUCCUGCCAGGCUUCGCUUGCUGCAAUGGAAUCAUUAUACAUCUCAUUAAAUAGUCAAGUAAUACAUUCCGGAAAAUUGCCACUAGACUCCAUGUCCCAGAGAUUGAGUGAAUUGAAGUUGUUUCACCGCCUCCCUGGUGUGUAGGUUGGAAGAAAACCUGUCUGCCAAAAGGAGGCUGAAUCACAAGUAGUACCAGGCAGCCUGCAACAGACCUUUAAAAACGAGACGUCUUGUACCAUUUGCCAAAGAGUGGGGAAAGCGUGAAGAUGACUGAGAUGAUUCAAAGCCCUUUUAAAAGCCCUCACAUGCCUCAUCAUGUUCAGUUUCACAGAGAGUAAUUUACUCCCACCACAACAUUUUGCUACAUUUGGAUGAAAACCUGCAAACUGGUGUUAAGUUAGUGUAGUA
This 586-nucleotide long non-coding RNA is filed under the name Junco hyemalis (dark-eyed junco). Its description in RNAcentral is "lncRNA (ENSJHYG00000006714.1)". Lineage: Eukaryota; Metazoa; Chordata; Aves; Passeriformes; Passerellidae. The record is from RNAcentral.